CCGGGCGUAGCUCAGCCUUGGUAGAGCGGCCGGCUGUAGUGGUUAAAUUGGCCGCAGAGACCGGCAGGUCGUGGGUUCAAGUCCCACCGCCCGGA
Molecule: transfer RNA, 95 nt
Filed under: Candidatus Nanobsidianus stetteri
Lineage: Archaea; Nanobdellati; Nanobdellota; Candidatus Nanoarchaeia; Nanoarchaeales; Nanopusillaceae
Description: Candidatus Nanopusillus sp. Nst1 tRNA
Rfam family: tRNA
About the family: Transfer RNA (tRNA) molecules are approximately 80 nucleotides in length. Their secondary structure includes four short double-helical elements and three loops (D, anti-codon, and T loops).
Source: Rfam by way of RNAcentral